AGUGAACGCUGGCGGUAGGCCUAACACAUGCAAGUCGAACGGCAGCACAGUAAGAGCUUGCUCUUACGGGUGGCGAGUGGCGGACGGGUGAGGAAUACAUCGGAAUCUACUUUUUCGUGGGGGAUAACGGAGGGAAACUUACGCUAAUACCGCAUACGACCUACGGGUGCAAGCAGGGGAUCUUCGGACCUUGCGCGAUUGAAUGAGCCGAUGUCGGAUUAGCUAGUUGGCGGGGUAAAGGCCCACCAAGGCGACGAUCCGUAGCUGGUCUGAGAGAAUGAUCAGCCACACUGGAACUGAGACACGGUCCAGACUCCUACGGGAGGCAGCAGUGGGGAAUAUUGGACAAUGGGCGCAAGCCUGAUCCAGCCAUACCGCGUGGGUGAAGAAGGCAUUCGGGUUGUAAAGCCCUUUUGUUGGGAAAGAUAAGCAGCAGGUUAAUACCCCGCUGUUCUGACGGUACCCAAAGAAUAAGCACCGGCUAACUUCGUG
This 492-nucleotide ribosomal RNA is filed under the name uncultured bacterium. Its description in RNAcentral is "partial 16S ribosomal RNA". It matches the Rfam family "Bacterial small subunit ribosomal RNA", at positions 29 to 507 of the family's 1533-position model. The record is from RNAcentral.